RNAcentral lists this ribosomal RNA (254 nucleotides) under uncultured bacterium. RNAcentral's name for it is "partial 16S ribosomal RNA". It matches the Rfam family "Bacterial small subunit ribosomal RNA", at positions 524 to 776 of the family's 1533-position model. The record is from RNAcentral.
UACGUAGGUGGCAAGCGUUGUCCGGAUUUACUGGGCGUAAAGAGCGCGCAGGCGGUCGUUCAAGUCGGGUGUGAAAGCCCCCGGCUCAACUGGGGAGGGUCACGCGAUACUGAUCGACUCGAAGGCAGGAGAGGGUAGUGGAAUUCCCGGUGUAGUGGUGAAAUGCGUAGAUAUCGGGAGGAACGCCAGUGGCGAAGGCGACUACCUGGGCUGUUUCUUGACGCUGAGGCGCGAAAGCUAGGGGAGCAAACGGG